RNAcentral lists this ribosomal RNA (497 nucleotides) under uncultured bacterium. RNAcentral's name for it is "partial 16S ribosomal RNA". It matches the Rfam family "Bacterial small subunit ribosomal RNA", at positions 28 to 507 of the family's 1533-position model. The record is from RNAcentral.
GAUGAACGCUGGCGGCGUGCCUAAUACAUGCAAGUCGAGCGAACAGACGAGGAGCUUGCUCCUCUGACGUUAGCGGCGGACGGGUGAGUAACACGUGGAUAACCUACCUAUAAGACUGGGAUAACUUCGGGAAACCGGAGCUAAUACCGGAUAAUAUAUUGAACCGCAUGGUUCAAUAGUGAAAGACGGUUUUGCUGUCACUUAUAGAUGGAUCCGCGCCGCAUUAGCUAGUUGGUAAGGUAACGGCUUACCAAGGCAACGAUGCGUAGCCGACCUGAGAGGGGGAUCAGCCACACUGCAGCUGAGACACGGUGCACAAGACUACGGGAGGCAGCAGUAGGGAAUCUUCCGCAAUGGGCGAAAGCCUGACGGAGCAACGCCGCGUGAGUGAUGAAGGUCUUCGGAUCGUAAAACUCUGUUAUUAGGGAAGAACAAAUGUGUAAGUAACUAUGCACGUCUUGACGGUACCUAAUCAGAAAGCCACGGCUAACUACGUG